GACGAACGCUGGCGGCGUGCUUAACACAUGCAAGUCGAACGGUAAGGCCCUUCGGGGUACACGAGUGGCGAACGGGUGAGUAACACGUGGGUGAUCUGCCCUGCACUUCGGGAUAAGCCUGGGAAACUGGGUCUAAUACCGGAUAGGACUCCGGACUGCAUGGUCUGGGGUGGAAAGCUUUUGCGGUGUGGGAUGGGCCCGCGGCCUAUCAGCUCGUUGGUGGGGUGAUGGCCUACCAAGGCGACGACGGGUAGCCGGCCUGAGAGGGUGACCGGCCACACUGGGACUGAGAUACGGCCCAGACUCCUCCGGGAGGCAGCAGUGGGGAAUAUUGCACAAUGGGCGCAAGCCUGAUGCAGCGACGCCGCGUGAGGGAUGACGGCCUUCGGGUUGUAAACCUCUUUCAGCAUCGACGAAGCGAAAGUGACGGUAGGUGCAGAAGAAGGACCGGCCAACUACGUGCCAGCAGCCGCCGUAA
RNAcentral lists this ribosomal RNA (478 nucleotides) under uncultured bacterium. RNAcentral describes it as "partial 16S ribosomal RNA". It matches the Rfam family "Bacterial small subunit ribosomal RNA", at positions 28 to 523 of the family's 1533-position model. The record is from RNAcentral.